GACGAACGCUGGCGGCGUGCCUAACACAUGCAAGUCGAACGGAGAAUUUUAUUUCGGUAGAAUUCUUAGUGGCGAACGGGUGAGUAACGCGUAGGCAACCUGCCCUUUAGACGGGGACAACAUUCCGAAAGGAGUGCUAAUACCGGAUGUGAUCAUCUUGCCGCAUGGCAGGAUGAAGAAAGAUGGCCUCUACAAGUAAGCUAUCGCUAAAGGAUGGGCCUGCGUCUGAUUAGCUAGUUGGUAGUGUAACGGACUACCAAGGCGAUGAUCAGUAGCCGGUCUGAGAGGAUGAACGGCCACAUUGGGACUGAGACACGGCCCAAACUCCUACGGGAGGCAGCAGUGGGGAAUCUUCCGCAAUGGACGAAAGUCUGACGGAGCAACGCCGCGUGAGUGAGGAAGGUCUUCGGAUCGUAAAGCUCUGUUGUAAGAGAAAAACGGCACUCAUAGGGAAUGAU
Molecule: ribosomal RNA, 458 nt
Filed under: uncultured bacterium
Lineage: Bacteria
Description: bacterial SSU rRNA
Rfam family: Bacterial small subunit ribosomal RNA
Source: RNAcentral